Molecule: ribosomal RNA, 446 nt
Filed under: Salmonella enterica
Lineage: Bacteria; Pseudomonadati; Pseudomonadota; Gammaproteobacteria; Enterobacterales; Enterobacteriaceae
Description: bacterial SSU rRNA
Rfam family: Bacterial small subunit ribosomal RNA
Source: RNAcentral
AAAUUGAAGAGUUUGAUCAUGGCUCAGAUUGAACGCUGGCGGCAGGCCUAACACAUGCAAGUCGAACGGUAACAGGAAGCAGCUUGCUGUUUUGCUGACGAGUGGCGGACGGGUGAGUAAUGUCUGGGAAACUGCCUGAUGGAGGGGGAUAACUACUGGAAACGGUGGCUAAUACCGCAUAACGUCGCAAGACCAAAGAGGGGGACCUUCGGGCCUCUUGCCAUCAGAUGUGCCCAGAUGGGAUUAGCUUGUUGGUGAGGUAACGGCUCACCAAGGCGACGAUCCCUAGCUGGUCUGAGAGGAUGACCAGCCACACUGGAACUGAGACACGGUCCAGACUCCUACGGGAGGCAGCAGUGGGGAAUAUUGCACAAUGGGCGCAAGCCUGAUGCAGCCAUGCCGCGUGUAUGAAGAAGGCCUUCGGGUUGUAAAGUACUUUCAGCGGG